UACGUAGGUGGCAAGCGUUGUCCGGAUUUAUUGGGUUUAAAGGGUGCGUAGGUGGUCUAUUAAGUCAGUGCUGAAAUAUCCCGGCUUAACCGGGAGGGUGGCAUUGAUACUGAUGGACUUGAGUGAAGUCGAGGUAGGCGGAAUUGACGGUGUAGCGGUGAAAUGCUUAGAUAUCGUCAAGAACACCGAUAGUGAAGACAGCUUACUAGACUUCAACUGACGCUGAGGCACGAAAGUGUGGGGAUCAAACAGG
RNAcentral lists this ribosomal RNA (253 nucleotides) under uncultured bacterium. RNAcentral's name for it is "partial 16S ribosomal RNA". It matches the Rfam family "Bacterial small subunit ribosomal RNA", at positions 524 to 776 of the family's 1533-position model. The record is from RNAcentral.